RNAcentral lists this ribosomal RNA (253 nucleotides) under uncultured bacterium. RNAcentral describes it as "partial 16S ribosomal RNA". It matches the Rfam family "Bacterial small subunit ribosomal RNA", at positions 524 to 776 of the family's 1533-position model. The record is from RNAcentral.
UACGAAGUGGGCUAGCGUUGCUCGGAAUCACUGGGCGUAAAGCGCACGUAGGCGGCUUUCUAAGUCAGGGGUGAAAUCCUGGAGCUCAACUCCAGAACUGCCUUUGAUACUGGGAAGCUCGAGUCCGGAAGAGGUGAGUGGAACUCCGAGUGUAGAGGUGAAAUUCGUAGAUAUUCGGAAGAACACCAGUGGCGAAGGCGGCUCACUGGUCCGGUACUGACGCUGAGGUGCGAAAGCGUGGGGAGCAAACAGG